Molecule: ribosomal RNA, 341 nt
Filed under: uncultured Lactobacillus sp.
Lineage: Bacteria; Bacillati; Bacillota; Bacilli; Lactobacillales; Lactobacillaceae
Description: bacterial SSU rRNA
Rfam family: Bacterial small subunit ribosomal RNA
Source: RNAcentral
AGCAGUAGGGAAUCUUCCACAAUGGGCGAAAGCCUGAUGGAGCAACGCCGCGUGGGUGAAGAAGGUCUUCGGAUCGUAAAACCCUGUUGUUAGAGAAGAAAGUGCGUGAGAGUAACUGUUCACGUUUCGACGGUAUCUAACCAGAAAGCCACGGCUAACUACGUGCCAGCAGCCGCGGUAAUACGUAGGUGGCAAGCGUUAUCCGGAUUUAUUGGGCGUAAAGGGAACGCAGGCGGUCUUUUAAGUCUGAUGUGAAAGCCUUCGGCUUAACCGGAGUAGUGCAUUGGAAACUGGGAGACUUGAGUGCAGAAGAGGAGAGUGGAACUCCAUGUGUAGCGGUG